GCGCGGGUGGUGGAAUUGGUAGACACGUACGUUUGAGGGGCGUAUGGAGCAAUCCAUGAGGGUUCAAGUCCCUCCCCGCGCA
This 82-nucleotide transfer RNA is filed under the name Candidatus Omnitrophota bacterium. Its description in RNAcentral is "Candidatus Omnitrophica bacterium (sediment metagenome) tRNA-Leu". It matches the Rfam family "tRNA". Rfam says of the family: Transfer RNA (tRNA) molecules are approximately 80 nucleotides in length. Their secondary structure includes four short double-helical elements and three loops (D, anti-codon, and T loops). The record is from RNAcentral. Lineage: Bacteria; Pseudomonadati; Candidatus Omnitrophota.